RNAcentral lists this long non-coding RNA (227 nucleotides) under Carica papaya (papaya). RNAcentral's name for it is "long non-coding RNA (CPAP_LNC015394)". The record is from RNAcentral. Lineage: Eukaryota; Viridiplantae; Streptophyta; Magnoliopsida; Brassicales; Caricaceae.
AUAAUAUAUCAUGUUACAAGUUUGAUGAGCAUAAAAUAGAGUUGGUGAAGUUAUAUAUGAGGAAAACAAUCAAAUUUGGGAUUUGGUUCUUGUAACUCCUAAGAAAAAUGCUUUUAAAAUUGAUUGUAAUGUUGUAUAUGGUUAUUGCAAGCUUUUUUAUUCCAUGAGAGCAUUGAGACAGGCUUGAAUAUUUGUUUAUGAGCCUCCAAAAAUAUUGAUCAUCUGUU